AUUCCCAUAGUGUAGUGGUUAUCACGUUUACCUAACAUGCAAAGGGUCCCUGGUUCAAAACCAGGUGGAAACA
Molecule: non-coding RNA, 73 nt
Organism: Pteronotus mesoamericanus
Lineage: Eukaryota; Metazoa; Chordata; Mammalia; Chiroptera; Mormoopidae
Source: the annotation of a RefSeq genome assembly